RNAcentral lists this transfer RNA (52 nucleotides) under Enterobius vermicularis (human pinworm). Its description in RNAcentral is "tRNA-Ser2". Lineage: Eukaryota; Metazoa; Nematoda; Chromadorea; Rhabditida; Oxyuridae. The record is from RNAcentral.
UGCUUAUUAAUAGAAGAGUUUUGAAAACUUUUUUUGGUUUAACCGUUGGCAU